RNAcentral lists this long non-coding RNA (415 nucleotides) under Canis lupus dingo (dingo). RNAcentral describes it as "lncRNA (ENSCAFG00020005395.1)". The record is from RNAcentral. Lineage: Eukaryota; Metazoa; Chordata; Mammalia; Carnivora; Canidae.
GCCUUGCCACUACUCACUAUUAGGGAUUCUUUAGAUGUUGUCGAGGGAAUAAAUUAUUUAAUAUGAACGUACGGACCAGAUUCUCGCUGCAAGGAGAACUUCUCCCGAACUUCAGGAUCCCUACCUGACUGUAGAAGUGACUUCAACUUAAUCUGCUAACCAGUGAUGUGUGAGGAUGCUGAGGGAGUACAGAUGCAGGCAUUGCUGUUGUUCUAUGAGUUUUGCAGAACACUGAUAUCUAUGGACUCUAACAUGGACUUCAUUUAAAGAAAUCCACGGAUCAUUAAUGGACAAAAACAUGAAUCAGUUUAUGUUGUGGCAUACAAAUCCUAGCACUUUGGGAAAGCAUCAAGUACAAGUUUUUGAAGACCCUGAGGCCUACCACCAUUAUGCAUUCAAGAUUGAGUUUGAAUAA